GAUGAACGCUGGCGGCGUGCUUAACACAUGCAAGUCGAACGGAAAGGCCCUGCUUUUGUGGGGUGCUCGAGUGGCGAACGGGUGAGUAACACGUGAGUAACCUGCCCUUGUCUUUGGGAUAACUUCAGGAAACUGGGGCUAAUACCGGAUAGGAGCUCCUGCAGCAUGGUGGGGGUUGGAAAGUUUCGGCUGUUGGGGAUGGACUCGCGGCUUAUCAGCUUGUUGGUGGGGUAGUGGCUUACCAAGGCUUUGACGGGUAGGCGGCCUGGGAGGGUGACCGGCGUCAAGGGGACUGAGAGAGGGCCCAGACUGCUACGGGAGGCAGCGGUGGGGAGUAUGACACAGUGAGCGGGAGCCUGUGGCGGCGGCCCCGCGUGCGUGAUGACGGCCUUCUGGUUGUGAACCGCUUUCGCCUGAGACGAAGCGGGAGUGACGGUAAUGAGUAAAGAAGCACCGGCUAACUACGUG
This 468-nucleotide ribosomal RNA is filed under the name uncultured bacterium. RNAcentral's name for it is "partial 16S ribosomal RNA". It matches the Rfam family "Bacterial small subunit ribosomal RNA", at positions 28 to 507 of the family's 1533-position model. The record is from RNAcentral.